This 492-nucleotide ribosomal RNA is filed under the name uncultured bacterium. RNAcentral describes it as "partial 16S ribosomal RNA". It matches the Rfam family "Bacterial small subunit ribosomal RNA", at positions 29 to 507 of the family's 1533-position model. The record is from RNAcentral.
AGUGAACGCUGGCGGUAGGCCUAACACAUGCAAGUCGAACGGCAGCACAGUAAGAGCUUGCUCUUACGGGUGGCGAGUGGCGGACGGGUGAGGAAUACAUCGGAAUCUACUUUUUCGUGGGGGAUAACGUAGGGAAACUUACGCUAAUACCGCAUACGACCUACGGGUGAAAGCAGGGGAUCUUCGGACCUUGCGCGAUUGAAUGAGCCGAUGUCGGAUUAGCUAGUUGGCGGGGUAAAGGCCCACCAAGGCGACGAUCCGUAGCUGGUCUGAGGGGAUGAUCAGCCACACUGGAACUGAGACACGGUCCAGACUCCUACGGGAGGCAGCAGUGGGGAAUAUUGGACAAUGGGCGCAAGCCUGAUCCAGCCAUACCGCGUGGGUGAAGAAGGCCUUCGGGUUGUAAAGCCCUUUUGUUGGGAAAGAAAAGCAGCAGGUUAAUACCCCGCUGUUCCGACGAUACCCAAAGAAUAAGCACCGGCUAACUUCGUG